This is a non-coding RNA of Helicobacter bilis, 367 nucleotides long. NCBI's taxonomy places the organism in Bacteria, Pseudomonadati, Campylobacterota, Epsilonproteobacteria, Campylobacterales, Helicobacteraceae. The record is from Rfam.
GGGGCUGUUUUGGCUUUCGACGGAAGUUUUAUAGCAGUUUAAGCAUACCAGCUGAUACCUGUAACUAUCAACAAACAAUAAACGCAAACAACGCGAAUUACGCUCCAGCUUACGCAAAAGUAGCGUGAGUUUAAUCUCCUUUUGGAGCCAGAUUCUUCUUUCUUUAUCGGGAGAUUUUAGAAUCUGUCAUCAAUCCGAUUGCUUGAGUGUUUUUGCCUAGUGAUACUCAAAAAGAUUAUAGGCUUUGAUACAUUCUAUUUUGCAUGUUUUAAGGGGUGUGUUAAGAUAACAAAACAUUGCUAAGUAUGUAGAAAUCUCUGUAGAAUAGGAUUUUCGGACUGGGGUUCAAUUCCCCACAGCUCCACCA